CUUCAUGACCUUGGAUUAGAUAAUACAGCACCAAAAGCACAAAAAAACAAAAGAAAAAAUAGAUAACUUGAACUUCAUCAAAACUAAAAAGCUUCAUCAUCAAGAAGUGAAAAGACAGCUCACACAAUGGGAAAAAAUAGCCAAAUCCAUGUAAGCAGAAAGUAGAUUUGUGGUUUCCAGAGUCCAGCUUGAAGUGGGGAUGGGGAGUGGCUGCUAAUAGGUAUUGGGCCUCUUUUUGGAGGAGUGAUGAAAAUAUUUUAAAAUUAGAUAAAGUGAUGUUUGCACACUUUGUAUGUUCACAGAGUACUAAAACCCAUUGAACUAUAUACUUAAAAGAGUAAAUUUUAUGGUGUGUGAAUUGUGAAGCUAAUUUUUUAUACUUACAUAUCUAAUUCAGUAAUGCUAGAAAAAUGACAUAUACACAUGCAAAAAAA
This 434-nucleotide long non-coding RNA is filed under the name Homo sapiens (human). RNAcentral's name for it is "non-protein coding lnc-SLFNL1-4:1". Lineage: Eukaryota; Metazoa; Chordata; Mammalia; Primates; Hominidae. The record is from RNAcentral.